UACGGAGGAUGCGAGCGUUAUCCGGAUUUAUUGGGUUUAAAGGGUGCGUAGGCGGACUGUCAAGUCAGCGGUAAAAUUGAGAGGCUCAACCUCUUCCCGCCGUUGAAACUGGUGGUCUUGAGUGGAUGAGAAGUACGCGGAAUGCGGGGUGUAGCGGUGAAAUGCAUAGAUAUCACGCAGAACUCCGAUUGCGAAGGCAGCGUACCGGCAUCCAACUGACGCUGAGGCACGAAAGCGUGGGGAUCAAACAGG
RNAcentral lists this ribosomal RNA (252 nucleotides) under uncultured bacterium. RNAcentral's name for it is "partial 16S ribosomal RNA". It matches the Rfam family "Bacterial small subunit ribosomal RNA", at positions 524 to 776 of the family's 1533-position model. The record is from RNAcentral.